Molecule: long non-coding RNA, 436 nt
Filed under: Chinchilla lanigera (long-tailed chinchilla)
Lineage: Eukaryota; Metazoa; Chordata; Mammalia; Rodentia; Chinchillidae
Description: lncRNA (ENSCLAG00000026065.1)
Source: RNAcentral
AUGAGACACUAGAGCUGGAAAAAGAGGGCUCUCUUUGAAGGAAGGGUGCUGGGUGAUCAAACUCUUGUCCCGCAAACCCCAUCUUCCCCUUCCCUUCCCCCAAACUCAGCCCCUCUCUCCCCAAACAUCCUUUCAUGCGCACCCCACUCUGGUACUCAAGGAGCCAUGCAAAUAAGAAAGAACUGGCUGCAGGUCCACAGGGGGCUUGCUCGGAGCCACUGACAGCUCCCUUCCGGCGGGGCUGCUUCCAGGGGCGGGAGCUGAAGACAGACCUCGGAGUCUGCCCACUUCUGAGAGCAGCAGCCCGGCUCCUCGUGGCUCCAGCAGCAGGGUUUCCUCUCUGGACCAAGAGCAGUGUCUUAUAAAGUAUCCCGCAGGUAAGUUGCUUUGCUUUGUAAAAGGGGCUGAGAGAGCAAGACCACAUGUGUUGAUGGAA